This 500-nucleotide ribosomal RNA is filed under the name uncultured bacterium. RNAcentral's name for it is "partial 16S ribosomal RNA". It matches the Rfam family "Bacterial small subunit ribosomal RNA", at positions 30 to 523 of the family's 1533-position model. The record is from RNAcentral.
AUUGAACGCUGGCGGCAUGCCUUACACAUGCAAGUCGAACGGCAGCACGGGAGCAAUCCUGGUGGCGAGUGGCGAACGGGUGAGUAAUAUAUCGGAACGUGCCCAGUCGUGGGGGAUAACACAGCGAAAGCUGUGCUAAUACCGCAUACGAUCUAUGGAUGAAAGCGGGGGAUCGCAAGACCUCGCGCGAUUGGAGCGGCCGAUAUCAGAUUAGCUAGUUGGUGGGGUAAAGGCCCACCAAGGCGACGAUCUGUAGCUGGUCUGAGAGGACGACCAGCCACACUUGAACUGAGACACGGUCCAGACUCCUACGGGAGGCAGCAGUGGGGAAUUUUGGACAAUGGGCGCAAGCCUGAUCCAGCAAUGCCGCGUGCAGGAUGAAGGCCUUCGGGUUGUAAACUGCUUUUGUACGGAACGAAACGGUCCUUUCUAAUACAGAGGGCUAAUGACGGUACCGUAAGAAUAAGCACCGGCUAACUACGUGCCAGCAGCCGCCGUAA